Molecule: non-coding RNA, 46 nt
Filed under: Schistosoma mattheei
Lineage: Eukaryota; Metazoa; Platyhelminthes; Trematoda; Strigeidida; Schistosomatidae
Source: RNAcentral
GCACUGCUGAGGAUCCCCAGAAUAGGGCGAAACGGCCGUCCAGUGC